RNAcentral lists this ribosomal RNA (253 nucleotides) under uncultured bacterium. Its description in RNAcentral is "partial 16S ribosomal RNA". It matches the Rfam family "Bacterial small subunit ribosomal RNA", at positions 524 to 776 of the family's 1533-position model. The record is from RNAcentral.
UACGAAGGGGGCUAGCGUUGCCCGGAUUUACUGGGCGUAAAGCGCGUGUAGGCGGUUAGAUUAGACUGCUGUGAAAGCCCCCGGCUCAACUGGGGAGGGUCACGCGAUACUGAUCGACUCGAAGGCAGGAGAGGGAAGUGGAAUUCCCGGUGUAGUGGUGAAAUGCGUAGAUAUCGGGAGGAACACCAGUGGCGAAGGCGGCUUACUGGUCCGGAUCUGACGCUGAGGCGCGAAAGCGUGGGGAGCAAACAGG